Nerophis lumbriciformis (worm pipefish) is the source of this 2404-nucleotide non-coding RNA. Lineage: Eukaryota; Metazoa; Chordata; Actinopteri; Syngnathiformes; Syngnathidae. The record is from RefSeq and is a predicted model, not a curated record.
GGAGCGCUUGUCGGCAUUAUAUGGCGUUCAGCGCAAGUCCACAACAGACCUGUUCGGUAACCAUAGGGGAGGGUCACUGGGGAACUCUACCCACUGUGGCAUCCUGGGUUAGCCCGAAAGGAAUACCUGAGACAUGUUUUUAUAAGAUCCUGCAUGGUUUCAAGGACCAGGUCGCCCAAGAGAACUGGCAGCAGUUCUCUGAACAGUUCCCUCCUUUGUUCAAGGAGCGCUUGUCGGCAUUAUAUGGCGUUCAGCGCAAGUCCACAACAGACCUGUUCGGUAACCAUAGGGGAGGGUCACUGGGGAACUCUGUGAAGGAGCGCUUGUCGGCAUUAUAUGGCGUUCAGCGCAAGUCCACAACAGACCUGUUCGGUAUGUUCUGAAAUCAUCACUUUUGCUCACAAGUAUUGUCUUUCUGGAGAUGAUGACAAACCCAGCUCAUUGAUAACGCAAUGAAAAAUCUUUGUUCCAACCUUUAUCUGAUCCAGAACAUUACAUGACGUUAGCCACCAAUUUCGUGUUCAGCUCUUCUGCUAAUUCUUAUCCUUUUUGUCUGCUAUGCAGGUAACCAUAGGGGAGGGUCACUGGGGAACUCUGUGAAGGAGCGCUUGUCGGCAUUAUAUGGCGUUCAGCGCAAGUCCACAACAGACCUGUUCGGUAACCACAGGGGAGGGUCACUGGGGAACGCUACCCACUGUGGCAUCCUGGGUUAGCCCGAAAGAAUACCUGAGACAUGUUUUUAUAAGAUCCUGCAUGGUUUCAAGGACCAGGUCGCCCAAGAGAACUGGCAGCAGUUCUCUGAACAGUUCCCUCCUUUGUUCAAGGAGCGCUUGUCGGCAUUAUAUGGCGUUCAGCGCAAGUCCACAACAGACCUGUUCGGUAACCAUAGGGGAGGGUCACUGGGGAACUCUGUGAAGGAGCGCUUGUCGGCAUUAUAUGGCGUUCAGUGCAAGUCCACAACAGACCUGUUCGGUAACCAUAGGGGAGUGUCACUGGGGAACUCUGUGAAGGAGCGCUUGUCUGCAUGCUAUGGCGUUCAGCGUUAGUCCACAACAGACCUGUUCGGUAACCAUAGGGGAGGGUCACUGGGGAACUCUGUGAAGGAGCGCUUGUCGGCAUUAUAUGGCGUUCAGCGCAAGUCCACAACAGACCUGUUCGGUAACCACAGGGGAGGGUCACUGGGGAACGCUACCCACUGUGGCAUCCUGGGUUAGCCCGAAAGAAUACCUGAGACAUGUUUUUAUAAGAUCCUGCAUGGUUUCAAGGACCAGGUCGCCCAAGAGAACUGGCAGCAGUUCUCUGAACAGUUCCCUCCUUUGUUCAAGGAGCGCUUGUCGGCAUUAUAUGGCGUUCAGCGCAAGUCCACAACAGACCUGUUCGGUAACCAUAGGGGAGGGUCACUGGGGAACUCUGUGAAGGAGCGCUUGUCGGCAUUAUAUGGCGUUCAGUGCAAGUCCACAACAGACCUGUUCGGUAACCACAGGGGAGGGUCACUGGGGAACUCUACCCACUGUGGCAUCCUGGGUUAGCCCGAAAGGAAUACCUGAGACAUGUUUUUAUAAGAUCCUGCAUGGCUUCAAGGACCAGGUCGGCUAAGAGAACUAGCAGCAGUUCUCUGAACAGUUCCCUCCUUCGUUGAAGGAGCGCUUGUCGGCAUGCUAUGUCGUUCAACGUUAGUCCACAACAGACCUGUUCGGUAACCAUAGGGGAGGGUCACUGGGGAACUCAUUCACUGCCCAGCGUAGUGGGACAAACCAUGCAGAGGCAACGUGACGGCCUCCACUUGGCAAAGGGUCUUCUCCCCCCCCCCCCCCCCUUUCCCUGUGCCCUGUGACUGUUUGGUUUGUCUUAGACCUUUCUCCUCUCGUCCGAGUAGUCCUCAUCAGGAGCGCUAGUGAGACUGGUUGCAGCUGUGGUCCCUAUUGACUCGAAUGUGCCUAUUUCCUUUCACUUCUGGAUAUUUUUGCAACUUUAUUAGCUAGAUAAAUGUCAGAUCAUAUUAUAUUGCCUCUACUCCACACCACAAUUACUGUGAUUAUGUAUUAAUAUUUUGAAAUUGCAAAUCGAAUCCAUACAGUUGCUGUCUUGCAGAGACCAGUGGUCCUUACCAGUAGGGGCGCUAGUGAAAUUGGUCCUGAUGCUGGUCUGGUCUAACCUGACUCUCGUCAGAUCCUUGUACCACACAUUGAUCUGGGAGUUCUCAAUAGGAGAUGUAUUUCAGAAGGCGGGGCCUUGUAAAAAAAAUAAUUGUAUGUGAUUGGAUAAAUCACUUGUCUUGAAUGACAUGCUACUUCAACCCCUCACAUCAAAAUCAACCCGUGACGCUGAUGAGAGCGACGCCGGGAAAUCCAAACCCGGUCGGAAGAAGAGCCAAUAAAUGCCACCAAUAAAUGCCUUCAAAACA